AAUGAAGGGGAAGAUCAUGGAAAACCUUAGAGGAAGGUACACUAAUAAAAAGGAUCACGAGAGAGAAGGAAGACACGCGCUAAACCCUAGAUAUUACACUCAAUACACUUGACUUAAAUGUCGAUGUCGAUCUCAUUCUCUAUUUGUAAUUCAUUUUAGAUCUUGUUCAUUUUUCAGUCAUCCCUUGUAAACUUUCAUUGCAUUUUGAUCAAUAUCC
RNAcentral lists this long non-coding RNA (217 nucleotides) under Brassica napus (rape). RNAcentral's name for it is "long non-coding RNA (BNAP_LNC012161)". Lineage: Eukaryota; Viridiplantae; Streptophyta; Magnoliopsida; Brassicales; Brassicaceae. The record is from RNAcentral.